GACUGGUUGGCACAGUUGGUAGAGCAUGUGACUCUUGAUCUCAGGGUUGUGAGUUUGAGCCCCACAUUGGGUG
Molecule: transfer RNA, 73 nt
Organism: Felis catus (domestic cat)
Lineage: Eukaryota; Metazoa; Chordata; Mammalia; Carnivora; Felidae
Rfam family: tRNA
About the family: Transfer RNA (tRNA) molecules are approximately 80 nucleotides in length. Their secondary structure includes four short double-helical elements and three loops (D, anti-codon, and T loops). Further hydrogen bonds mediate the characteristic L-shaped molecular structure. tRNAs have two regions of fundamental functional importance: the anti-codon, which is responsible for specific mRNA codon recognition, and the 3' end, to which the tRNAs corresponding amino acid is attached (by aminoacyl-tRNA synthetases). tRNAs cope with the degeneracy of the genetic code in two manners: having more than one tRNA (with a specific anti-codon) for a particular amino acid; and 'wobble' base-pairing, i.e. permitting non-standard base-pairing at the 3rd anti-codon position.
Source: Rfam